GAUGAAGAACGCAGCGAAAUGCGAUAAGUAAUGUGAAUUGCAGAAUUCAGUGAAUCAUCGAAUCUUUGAACGCACCUUGCGCCCUUUGGCCAUUCCGAAGGGCAUGCCUGUUUGAGUAUCAUGAACACCUCAACUCUCAUGGCUCGCCAUGAUGAGCUUGGACUUUGGGGGUCUUGCUGGCCUGUGGUCGGCUCCUCUCAAAUGGAUCAGCUUGCCAGUGUUUGGUGGCAUCACAGGUGUGAUAACUAUCUGCGCUUGUGGUUUUCCAUCAGAUAACCUUCAGUGAUGGAGGUUCGCUGGAGCUCAUAAACGUCUCCCCUAAGCGGGGACAGACCUUUGAAUGUUUGAUCACAAAUCAGGUAGGACUACCCGCUGAACUUAAGCAUAUCAAUAAGCGGAGGA
Molecule: unclassified non-coding RNA, 402 nt
Filed under: soil metagenome
Description: partial contains 5.8S ribosomal RNA, internal transcribed spacer 2, and large subunit ribosomal RNA
Rfam family: 5.8S ribosomal RNA (bases 1-121)
Source: RNAcentral